Molecule: non-coding RNA, 691 nt
Organism: Salmo salar (Atlantic salmon)
Lineage: Eukaryota; Metazoa; Chordata; Actinopteri; Salmoniformes; Salmonidae
Source: RefSeq, a predicted model, not a curated record
CAGGAUUAUACUCCCCAAAACAGGACAUUAUAACAGGACCGUUUCACAAGGGACACUGAGGACUUUGUAAAAAGCCUAAACCCUGGAUAGAGGGGCUCAGUGAACGUGGAGGUGAAUGUGUGCAGGUGGGUCAGUGUGUCAGAGGAGACUCUAUAGUAUAUAGUAGACUCCCUCUCUAAACUCUAUAGGUAUACCCAUAGACCGGUCACUCUUCAUGGACACACAGCUGGGAACAGGGGAGGCUGGUCUCUCCUCCUUGAUUGGUCUUCAACACAACAGAGACAAACAUUACAUCUCUCAUCUACUCUGAGCUCAGAUGGGGAAACAUAAGAAGACUUUCAUUCUAAAAUGCUAUGUAUCAAUUUUCAGAAAAGUUGGUGAAUUCGAUUUUAUUACUUAAAGAAAUGAUCAAAUAAAUUGUGUUUUUUCACUAUCUAAUCAUGGCACGGGGUUGUUCAAUGACAGACAUGACUUUGUUUAUAUUAUAUCACUUGAUGGUUUCAUUUCAGAGAGUCACAUUUUUUUUUUGCAAAAUGCUAUAUAUCCGUCUCACUCUCAGAUGUGACCGACCGGCUCAAUUUGGCAAUUAACUAAAUGUGUGGUGUUUUUGGUUUAUGUCAGUUUAAUUGUUUGUUAUGCUAUAAAUUGUUAUUUUAUGGAUGUAAGUGAUAAAAUUAACUAGAAGAUUGUA